Molecule: long non-coding RNA, 796 nt
Filed under: Actinidia chinensis (golden kiwifruit)
Lineage: Eukaryota; Viridiplantae; Streptophyta; Magnoliopsida; Ericales; Actinidiaceae
Description: long non-coding RNA (ACHI_LNC007932)
Source: RNAcentral
UUUGAUCAAAAAACACAAGUCUUUACCGUUAAAAAACUCACAAACCAAAACAUAAAAUUGUUUAAAAGUAAUACAAGCCAACAAUCUCAAACACAAAGUCAACGACUCGACAUAUCGUUGGCCACUAAUUCUGCCAAGUCGGCCACCAUUUCAUCUAAUAGCCUCAACUGCAAAUCAAAAAACAAAUAAUAGUUACUCUUGUGUUACCAUUUCUCAACAACCAAACAAAGCCUAUGCAUACUCAUUGGAUUUGGAAUAAAAAUGAACAAGCUGAUCCAGGACCUAUAAUCAGUAGUAACUAUGAAUGCCAGGGGUAGGAGCAGCAACAUAAAAAAUGUAUGUUUACCUUAAGAUAGAUGCAUUUGAAACUCCACAACACAUUUUUUUCAUCCUCUGUGAUAACUGAAAAUGCACAAAAAGAAUGGGACUCGAAGAAAGGACUGAGAGAGAGAGGAUUGACCCCACGAAAUCAAACCAUUAGAGCCCAAAUUUCAGUUGCCGAACAUCGAAUCGAAGAAGAAGAGAGUUCAUUCACCUGCCAUUCAGUACUGAGAAUCAAGAUCCAUCCAGAAUCGAUUAAAGAAAAAUAGUCAAAAAGGGGACUCGAAGUCAAUAGAUUUUUUUCAAGGUUGAUUCUCGGUAAUUCCAAAAAUCGAAUCGAAAUCACACGGAAAGAUUCAGAAAUCUUCAAUUCUAUGAAAAUAUAAGAACUAAAAACUAUGAAAAACAACGGGUACAAAACUUCUAAAACUAAAAAGUAUAAUUGUAGUCAACACUCUUAAUACCUUGAAUUAAG